Molecule: long non-coding RNA, 955 nt
Filed under: Callithrix jacchus (white-tufted-ear marmoset)
Lineage: Eukaryota; Metazoa; Chordata; Mammalia; Primates; Cebidae
Description: lncRNA (ENSCJAG00000052592.2)
Source: RNAcentral
GUGAGUACAAAUAAAAGACCCACCACUUUGCUUCAAUUUAGGGUAUCUCUGGAAAGCCAUCCUAGCUCCAAACCUCUCUGCAGGAUCAUAUGAGACUUCUUCUGCAUGCCCAACACAGCUCAACUUCCUCCUCUGCCCAGGCCUCCUUUCCUCACAUUCUCACAGGAAGUAUUUGAAGCCCAGGGGAUUGUGGUGAAAAAGACAAACACUGCCCCAUCUGUCCUGAAACAGACAUUUCAGAGGAGGGAAAUGGAUGAUAAACAGGUAAGUAAAUACUGUAGGUAAACAGAAUGGUUUCAAAUCACAAUAAGUCCCAUGAAAUAAACACACAGACUGUGUCACAGGACUUUCAGCUGAGACCCCUUUGAGAUGCAGUGACUUCCCAUGUUUGCCUGAAAGGAUAGCUUCUUUAAUGUUAAAUCAGAAAAGCAGGCUGGGCACAGUGGCUCCUGCCUGUAAUCUCAGCACUUUGGGAGGCUGAGGUGGGAGGAUUACUUGAAACCAGGAGUUGGAGACCAGCCUGGGCAACAAAGGCAGACACUGUCUCUACAAAAAAUUUUAAAAAUAGCCAGGAGUGGUGGUGUGUGUCUGUAGUCCUUGAGGUAGGGUGGGAAGACAUAGGGAGCAAAAGCAUGGGAAGGAGGAUGUCACCAAGGCUGUAAUGAACUAGGAUCCUGUACUCCAGCCCAAGUAACAGAGCAAGACCCUGUCUAAAUACAAAAGAAAAGAAGAGGGUCUAGCCAAACAAUUCCCUGGACAAUUUUACUUCUGCUAGAAAAUACGUUGUGUAGCUCAAAUGAAAGUGUUUAGACCAAGAAACGUGUUGAUACCAAGGUGGUCAGCCAGUGUGGCUCUGGAAGCAGCAUGUAGUUUGGCAUCGUGGGUUUAACCUUUACAGGAUUAGUGAUUAAUUUUUACAAGGAGGCCCAAGUUAACAAAGUCUGAUAUAAGGCCA